This 1123-nucleotide ribosomal RNA is filed under the name uncultured bacterium. Its description in RNAcentral is "bacterial SSU rRNA". It matches the Rfam family "Bacterial small subunit ribosomal RNA", at positions 47 to 1162 of the family's 1533-position model. The record is from RNAcentral.
AUUGAUUUUAUGCUUGCAUAAAUGAUUUUUGGAUUCGGAGCGAGUGGCGAACUGGUGAGUAACACGUGGGUAACCUGCCCCGAAGCGGGGGAUAACAUUUGGAAACAAGUGCUAAUACCGCAUAAUUAGUUGGAACCGCAUGGUUCCAACUUGAAAGAUGGCUCUGCUAUCACUUUGGGAUGGACCCGCGCCGUAUUAGUUAGUUGGUGAGAUAAAAGCCCACCAAGACGAUGAUACGUAGCCGACCUGAGAGGGUAAUCGGCCACAUUGGGACUGAGACACGGCCCAGACUCCUACGGGAGGCAGCAGUAGGGAAUCUUCCACAACGGACGAAAGUCUGAUGGAGCAACGCCGCGUGAGUGAUGAAGGUUUUCGGAUCGUAAAACUCUGUUGUUAAAGAAGAACAAGUGUUAGAGUAACUGUUAACACUUUGACGGUAUUUAACCAGAAAGCCACGGCUAACUACGUGCCAGCAGCCGCGGUAAUACGUAGGUGGCAAGCGUUGUCCGGAUUUAUUGGGCGUAAAGCGAGCGCAGGCGGUUUUGUAAGUCUGCUGUGAAAGCCCUCAGCUCAACUGAGGAAGUGCAGUGGAAACUACAAAACUUGAGUACAGAAGAGGAAAGUGGAACUCCAUGUGUAGCGGUGAAAUGCGUAGAUAUAUGGAAGAACACCAGUGGCGAAGGCGGCUUUCUGGUCUGUUACUGACGCUGAGGCUCGAAAGCAUGGGUAGCGAACAGGAUUAGAUACCCUGGUAGUCCAUGCCGUAAACGAUGAAUACUAGGUGUUGGAGGGUUUCCGCCCUUCAGUGCCGCAGCUAACGCAUUAAGUAUUCCGCCUGGGGAGUACGACCGCAAGGUUGAAACUCAAAGGAAUUGACGGGGACCCGCACAAGUGGUGGAGCAUGUGGUUUAAUUCGAUGCUACGCGAAGAACCUUACCAGCUCUUGACAUCUUCUGCCAACCCAAGAGAUUGGGCGUUCCCUUCGGGGACAGAAUGACAGGUGGUGCAUGGUUGUCGUCAGCUCGUGUCGUGAGAUGUUGGGUUAAGUCCCGCAACGAGCGCAACCCUUAUUAUUAGUUGCCAGCAUUUAGUUGGGCACUCUAGUGAGACUGCCGGUGAUAAA